AGUCCAAAUAUAAAAUGUCCAAAUGUGCAAAUAGUGGUCCUAGUAGUCCAUCAGGAGGGUAUGUAACGUCCUAAAUGAGAUAUGCGAGAAGAGCAGAAGAGAGAGAAAAACUCCAAUGGUGUAGUAUAAAAACAAAAUAUGGAUAUUUUGUAAAUAUUUGUGGAACUACUCACAAUAUUCAGAGCUUAAAUCCAGCUCUGGUAUGG
Molecule: non-coding RNA, 206 nt
Organism: Pelobates cultripes (western spadefoot toad)
Lineage: Eukaryota; Metazoa; Chordata; Amphibia; Anura; Pelobatidae
Source: the annotation of a GenBank genome assembly